CGCAAGGGGAGCGGCAGACGGGUGAGUAACGCGUGGGAAUCUACCAGCUCUACGGAAUAACUCAGGGAAACUUGUGCUAAUACCGUAUACGUCCGAUAGGAGAAAGAUUUAUCGGAGUUGGAUGAGCCCGCGUUGGAUUAGCUAGUUGGUGGGGUAAUGGCCUACCAAGGCGACGAUCCAUAGCUGGUCUGAGAGGAUGAUCAGCCACACUGGGACUGAGACACGGCCCAGACUCCUACGGGAGGCAGCAGUGGGGAAUAUUGGACAAUGGGCGAAAGCCUGAUCCAGCCAUGCCGCGUGAGUGAUGAAGGCCCUAGGG
RNAcentral lists this ribosomal RNA (319 nucleotides) under uncultured bacterium. Its description in RNAcentral is "bacterial SSU rRNA". It matches the Rfam family "Bacterial small subunit ribosomal RNA", at positions 85 to 422 of the family's 1533-position model. The record is from RNAcentral.